CCUACGGGCGGCUGCAGUGAGGAAUAUUGGUCAAUGGGCGUAAGCCUGAACCAGCCAAGUCGCGUGAGGGAUGAAGGUUCUAUGGAUCGUAAACCUCUUUUAUAAGGGAAUAAAACGAGGCACGUGUGCCUUUUUGCAUGUACUUUAUGAAUAAGGAUCGGCUAACUCCGUGCCAGCAGCCGCGGUAAUACGGAGGAUCAGAGCGUUAUCCGGAUUUAUUGGGUUUAAAGGGAGCGUAGAUGGGUUGUUAAGUCAGUUGUGAAAGUUUGCGGCUCAACCGUAAAAUUGCAAUUGAUACUGGCAGUCUAGAGUACAGUUGAGGUAGGCGGAAUUCGUGGUGUAGCGGUGAAAUGCUUAGAUAUCACGAAGAACCCCGAUUGCGAAGGCAGCUUACUAAACUGUGACUGACAUUGAUGCUCGAAAGUGUGGGGAUCAAACAGGAUUAGAUACCCGUGUAGUC
Molecule: ribosomal RNA, 460 nt
Filed under: uncultured bacterium
Lineage: Bacteria
Description: partial 16S ribosomal RNA
Rfam family: Bacterial small subunit ribosomal RNA
Source: RNAcentral